AUUUAAGCAUAUCAAUAAGCGGUGGAAAAGAAACCAACAGGGAUUCCCUUAGUAACGGCGAGCGAACAGGGAAGAGCCCAGUAUGAAAAUCUCCAGCCUUUGGCUGGCGAAUUGUAGUCUGGAGGAGCGCUCCCUGGGUGGGUGCUGGCCGAAGUAUACUGGAAGGUAUCGCUAUAGAGGGUGAGAGCCCCGUAGGCCAGUUAACCCGUCCUUCACGGGACGCUUUCAAAGAGUCGCGUUGUUUGGGAAUACAGCGCUAAUUGGGUGGUAAACCCCAUCUAAGGCUAAAUACCAAUGGGAGACCGAUAGCGAAAAAGUACCUCGAGGGAACGAUGAAAAGACCGCUGGCAAGCGAGUAAAAGAGUGCAUGAAAUUGUGUAGCGGGAAGGGAUGGCCUGGUAGCAUGCGCCCGGGUUGAUGUGGUUCGCAAGAGCUGCUGUCUGCACUGGGUGCUGGCUGGUACCGGCGCCCUUGGCCGUACAAUACUCUGCUGAGGUGCAGAGCACUGCGGGCGAGGGUGCCGAGGCUGAUCAGUUGCUUUGCCCCUUCGGGGAGCUGCUCUGACAGGGUACCAGCUGAAACCUGUCCAUCUGCCCGUCUGAAAAACACGGAAGUC
RNAcentral lists this ribosomal RNA (616 nucleotides) under Pithophora sp. HB1402. Its description in RNAcentral is "eukaryotic LSU rRNA". It matches the Rfam family "Eukaryotic large subunit ribosomal RNA", at positions 32 to 664 of the family's 3401-position model. The record is from RNAcentral. Lineage: Eukaryota; Viridiplantae; Chlorophyta; Ulvophyceae; Cladophorales; Pithophoraceae.